UGCAGUGCUGGCAAACUACUACUCAGUUUUUGACUUUGCUUCUGUAAUCUGGGCUGCCACAGGUACACGGCAACCAGUACCUGGUGUACUUCUUGAUCAGGUCUUAGUUAGGCUGCAGUCAUAG
Tyto alba (common barn owl) is the source of this 124-nucleotide non-coding RNA. The record is from Rfam. NCBI's taxonomy places the organism in Eukaryota, Metazoa, Chordata, Aves, Strigiformes, Tytonidae.